CCGACACACCGCGGUGCUGCCGUAUCCUCACAGGACGUCCGUCCUUACCUCCGUCACCGCUGUCUUGCUUACUGUGUGACUGGCAGUCGGCUAUUUUGUCCUGCGUUUGUGGUGCUAUUACAUCCGAACAGUCUCCGCUACAAGUAUUUUACAAUGUCAGUCCUGUAGAGAGCGGUAGAUGGUUUUAUUGAAUUGUUUUAUACGGGCUGCGAGCUGUGCGCGCCCUGUACUGUACAAAAACGAGGGGAGGAGGAGCAAUAGUAUUUCUCUUGAUUUCCUACCCCUGUCGUGGCAGCCAACGAACACGACCGGAGCACUUUUUCCCCACAUACCAAGGAAAAUCCACAAUAACGAGCGCACAGUGAAUUCGCUAAAGAGCAACACGGGAACUGCAUGAAACAUUAAUUUGACGGCACGCUGCGCCCUGCGGAGGAAUUAGCUCGAAUAUCCCUUACUGUGCAGUGUAUAGGCUACUACUACACUUGCACUGGAUUGAGGGACAGCCUGGACAUUCCCAGUCCCGUUUUCUGUCCCGAAAGGUUCCAGUUUGUGUCUUCGGCGACGGAAGAAACCGGCGGGCGGUGGCCAGCAGUCACAGCAAGCCAGGGCCUGGGGAAAUCAUUAACCAGACAAACCACAACAGGACUCUGAUUCUGCUCUCCCCUGCCAUUACAUCAUCACUCCACGCCGGCAGGGGUUGCGGUGACGUCAUCAAGGAGGGCGGCUUGCCCCGCCUGGCCAUGGCCGAGUGACUUGCGGCCCAGCGAAUGACAAGAGCGCGUCCGAGGGUGGGGCCCGCCUCAGUCUCACAUGAUUGGCUGCUGGAUGGAAUUAAGGUGAAUGGAACACAUGUCCAACGAGCAGGACUCUAACCUAUCGGAAGGGGAAGAGAAACGGGUACAUCCAAGCUACCUGGAGAAGGAUGAGCCCUGCGUGGUGUGUGGAGACAAGGCCACUGGCUACCAUUACCGCUGCAUCACAUGUGAGGGCUGCAAGGGGUUCUUCCGACGUACCAUCCAGAAGAACCUCCACCCCGCCUACUCCUGCAAGUACGAUGGCUGCUGCAUCAUCGACAAGAUCACCCGCAACCAGUGCCAGCUGUGCCGCUUCAAGAAGUGCAUCGCUGUGGGCAUGGCCAUGGACUUGGUCCUGGACGAGGCCAAGCGCGUGGCCAAGCGGCGCCUGAUCGAGGAGAACCGCGAGCGGAGGAAGAAGGAGGAGAUGGUGAAGACGCUGCAGAACCGGCCCGAGCCCACCAGCUCCGAGUGGGAGCUCAUCCGCCUGGUGACGGACGCCCACCGCCACACCAACGCGCAGGGCUCGCACUGGAAACAGAAGCGCAAGUUCCUGCCAGAGGACAUCGGCCAGUCUCCCGUCGCCCCCACAUCAGACGGGGACAAGGUGGACCUGGAGGCCUUCAGCGAGUUCACCAAGAUCAUCACGCCUGCCAUCACCCGCGUGGUCGACUUUGCCAAAAAACUGCCCAUGUUCUCAGAGCUGCCUUGUGAAGACCAGAUCAUCCUUCUGAAAGGCUGCUGCAUGGAGAUCAUGUCCCUGCGGGCGGCCGUGCGUUACGACCCCGAAAGUGAGACGCUGACGCUGAGCGGCGAGAUGGCCGUCAAGCGCGAGCAGCUCAAGAACGGCGGCCUGGGCGUGGUGUCGGACGCCAUCUUCGACCUGGGCAAGAGCCUGGCGCAGUUCAACCUGGACGACACGGAGGUGGCACUGCUACAGGCCGUCCUGCUUAUGAGCUCAGACCGCACGGGUCUCACCUGCAUUGACAAGAUCGAGAAGUGCCAGGAGAUGUACCUGCUGGCGUUCGAGCACUACAUCAACUACCGCAAGCACAACAUUCCCCACUUCUGGCCCAAGCUGCUGAUGAAGGUGACGGACCUGCGCAUGAUCGGGGCCUGCCACGCCAGCCGCUUCCUGCACAUGAAGGUGGAGUGCCCCACCGAGCUCUUCCCCCCGCUCUUCCUGGAGGUGUUCGAGGAACAGGACGUGUGAGGGAGAAGGAGGAGCGAGAGAGAAAGAGAGAGAGAGAUGGAAGGAAGAGGAGGAGGAAGAGACGGAGGUCCCGAUCAGAACCGGAACCGGAUCGGUUCAGAUGGGAGCAGAGGAGCGGCAGAAGGAACCGAGAGCCCUGGACACGAGGCAGGAAGGACUCGUCGAGCGUCACUUUCCCUCCCUUUUUCCUGUCGCCGCCGCCCACCCUAUCCCGGGGAAAACGUUUUGCUUGUUUGUUUGUUGUUUUUUUGUUUUUUUUUUGGAGAAGAGUAAACAUGCGCAGUCUCGUCUCGUCACCCACAUGUUUGAAAAGCAGACAACACCAGCAGCAGCUUUGGGGAGGGGAGGGAGCGGGUGUGAGGGUGGGGGUAGGAGGGGUCACCACCGGCGAUGCUUCUGUGUCCUGUAUUUUUUUAUGUUUUUUUUAUAUGUUUCUUUAUGGUUUGGUUUUGGGGAGGUUGCUUUAAGUUCAGAUGCUCCGCCCUCAGCCCCCAUCACCUGACCCCCCUACCCCCACCCCCACCCUGGCUCCCUCCACACACACACGCCUCACUGCUCAGAUAAGAUACAGUAUGCUGGCCCUUCUGUCUCUGCUCUUCGUCCUAUACUGACAGUUUACCUUUUCCUGCCGUAGUACACCUCAAGUGUAGGGGAACACACUCUCACUCACAAACACACACAUACACAAACACAGUCGCACUCACUUUCACACAUAAUCAUAAAACCUCUUGUUUGUGUACAAACUUCUCAGACCGUUGUUGAAGGCUGGCAUUUCUGAAUAACAGGAAAUUACAUCAGCGCCAGCCUUUUUUUAUUAUUAUUAUUUUUUUUUUUUUAAAGGGCGUAGCUUCUCAGCUAUCUCAAACAGAUUCUCUGUCCGCCCUUUACAAGACAACCAAUAAGAUAACUGGUCAGUUGUAUUUCAUUGUAUGUACAUGUAUCUCAGCAUUACUGUCGUCAGGGCUGCGUUGUUUUAGGAUCCAGGAAUUUUUCGGGAAAGCUGCUGGCAACGCUUUUUUAAGGCAGCAACCACCAAUACACUCAAGUGGGAAUUCUCCCUCCUCUUUUCAUUUGUUUGAUUUCAUUUAUUUGAAUUGUGUUUUGCUCUGUUUUGUUUUCAUUAUUUUUUUUUUUUACUCAAGUAAAAAAAAAAAAACGACGGACAGACCUCAUUUCACUCGUUUCUCUCUCUCUGUGUUUAAUGAGAAACCUGAGCCUCACACACACUUGAGCGGGAGGAGGAUUCUCAACAACCACACCCUGGUGCUAUGUCGGAUUUGUAUUGCUAUUUAACAGGAGAGGUGCCUCAGUAUGGGCCUAUUUGGGGGUCUUGGAAGGGAGGAGGGCGGCUGACAGCAUCGUUCCCCCAAACUCACCUCCACCACUCGGACCCCCCACCCACCACCUCCUCCCUGUUCCACAACCCCACACUGCCCUAAAGCUCGGGGUCUACAUUUAAUUUGAUUUUUUUUUUAAUGUUGUUUCCAGAACUGUUUUAAGGACUACCUGAGGCACACAUAUACACUUACAAGAACACAAACACACACACAUACACAUAGACACACACACACAUGCAUAUAAAAAACACACACACGCACACAUGCGCAUAAAAAAAACAGUGCAACCUCAGAACCUUUGUGUGUAGUUUUGCCAUGUCAUUGCCUGGGCUUGCUCUGCCAGGCCAUGGACCUCGUCUGAAUGACAAUUAAGCCCUUCUUUCUCAGGAAAGUCACUACAGGGGAAACUUGAGAGAGAGAGAGGGAGAUAGAGAGAGGGAGAGAGAGAGAGAAGGAGAGAAAGGGAGAGGCUAAGCGAGUGAUGGCUGGACAAUAAAGGAGAGUGUGUGAAGAGACUGAAAGGGGAGAGAGAAAGCGAGACCAACUUUAAAAGAGCUGGUGAAUGGGUCCAGUGCCCAGCUACUUCUAAAGAAUCCAGCCUUUGACCACAUACAUACACACACACACACACACACACACACACACACACACACACACACACACAUACACACACACACACACAGAACUCUCACACAGGCAGACCUCGUCAAAACGCAGACUAUCUGAAUAGCACUGAUUAGCAUCAGGAUAGGGUAGCCAAGGCAUCCUCGACACACUCAUGUAGACACACAAGACACGCACACACACACACACACACACACACACACACACACACACACACACACACACACACACACACACACACCUCAGAGAGAGACAAAAAAAAAACUCAAAUGCCUCAUUUUAACUGUAUGCACUGCAGUGCUAAUGUAUGCCCUGCCGUCCAGGGUUCUGUGAGUUUUUUAGUCCUGAUCCUCCACACUCUGCAGUCACCGCCGCCAUGGUAACAGAUAGACACACACACACACACACACACAGACAGAUACACACAUGCUCUGACACACACAGAAAACAACCAUUGGCGGUUGGUGCUGCAGGAAUGGCCAUCCUAUUUACCUCAAAAUGUGGGCACACCUCAGGCUGUGGCUCAUAGACUGCCUCUGUGCUAACAGGCUCUACCUCACCUCUGAACACAGGGCAGCUACCCACAGCCUCUUCCCACACACACACACACACACACACACACACACACACACACACACACACACACACACACAAUAUACAAACACACACUCACCAGUUACCCUCAGUGUUGUAUUCACACACACACAUCCCUCAGUCCUCACAGAUCUGUUGAUAUACCACUGCAGACAGGAGGGCCGGCUCAACACCCCCCCUCCCUCCUCCCCCCUCAUUCACACACACACACACACACACUCAAGCACCCCCCACCCCAUCACCCUCCACAAGCUAGCAACCUAUCCCCUAUCCCCCUACCUUCUUUCCUCAUGGUUGGGCUGGGUUAGGAUAGGGGCCUGUUUGAUGGGGAGGCGUGGGACACUAGUAGGUGUCCCAUUAUUUCUUUCAUUCUGUCUUUACCUUUUCAGUACCUUUCGGUCAUUUAUGUGGGACCAAGUGUUGCUUUUGUGUUUUUUUUUUGUUUGUUUGUUUUUGUUGUUGUUUUUUUUUUUUUUUCUCGAUUUUGACAAAUUUGGAGUCCCCUCUUGGCUGAAGGAUCCCUGCAGUGCGGGAGGAAACCAUGUGACUUGUGACAGACAGGUGCUCCACCCAUGAAGAGGGCAACGCUGAGAGAGACUAAAUCAUGUGUCUACAACCUACUCAGAGGCCUCGGGGGCAUGAACACCGAAUGAGAAGCAGGCCACUGCUGGCCAAAGCCGUGUCUCCUCUCCAACUGGACGCCGUUAGAAAAGCAGCCACAAGAGAGAGCAGCGCCCACGUCCGUGGGCAUGUGUGUGUGUGCACACGCGUCUGUCUACGGAGAAGAGUUUCCACCUUCCCCAUCAACCUGGUUGGGAGGAGAAGGCUACCGGCAAGUAGUGGAGCCUUGAUUACAGCUCUCCAGAGGAGAUGAGAGAGAGAGAGAAAUGGAUGAUUGAAUGAAUGAGCGAAUUCUCUUGCCCCUGGAAGGAGUCUGUCUCCGCCCUCUCUCUCUCUGUCCUACAGGCUUUGCACUCCUGGAAGGAGGGCAGCCUGAUUUCCCCCCUCUGAGAUGAGCAGAGAGAGGUGUGGCAUUCCACUGAUGCGGGUAUGUGAUACUCGCAUCCGGAACAGUCAUGACAAAGGCACAGGACGGGAGGAGACCAAAACAGACAGAUCUGGCAGGAGUCCUUGAGUCCGGAGAGUCGAUCAGAUUGUGUGUGUACAGUAUGUCUGGUUGCUUGUUAGUGUGUGUGUUUAACAACAGAGGUUAUAAUGCUGCUUUACCCUCUGUGUCUAACUUAAUUUGAAAGAAAGUAUCUUAUGAUGAUAUAAUCAAAGUCCCAGACACCUGUUGAAAUUUGAAAGACUCCAGAACAAAAAAAAAAGAUGAGCAUUUUUUUUAAAGAAAAAAAAGAAUCUCAAUGUUUUUGUUUGUUUUUUGAUGCUUAACUGCUCUGUGUAGAAGAGAGAAAAGAACAGAGAUAGUCACCUUCUUGACCAUGCGUGCAGUGUAACCUAGACAAAAAGAAUCUUCACCUCUUUCACACAUCACUUCUAGUUUCUAUUGAAAAAGCCAACUGCUCUCUUGUCUGUGUAGCUGUCCUAUCGUCCGUCCUUUUGUCAAGAGGAAUUUACAAACAAAAAAAAAAGACAGGAAUAUUUUCCUUUUUUUAAAAAAUAAUUUUUGUUUCCUUUUUUUAAUGAAAGACUGAAUAAGCAUACGUACAUACAUACACACAUAGGAAAACGUAAUGCAACAGAAAACUGAAAAUAUGAAAAGAAAAAAAAAGAACUGAAACAAACCCUCUCAUACCUCACACAACACAAAACUAAUGAAUUUGGGUGCGAGUGCAGAACUGCUGGCACUUAUUCUAAGUGUCAAACACAUGCAUGUGUAGAGAUGUACAUUGAGAUAUAUGUGCUUGGUGCGCGUGCGCAUGUACAGACAUUACAGAAGCACUCCCCUCCUCACCCCAUCUCCCAGACGGUCACCACCACCACCCCACUCCCUCCAAACAAAGAACCCUCUCCGAGCCCCCAUUAGCCCCCCCACCCCCCGUCACCUUGAUGGCAGCAUCUGCCCAUGGAGGUCAGGUGCACACAUGGCUUCUAACUGAAGGACUCUGGCAGCAACUUCAGGAGUCAGUGUCACGGCCUGCGUCGGACUCUAUCACACGGUAUUCUCUGAGAUCUUUUGAUUGAACCCAGUUUAUGUGUGCGUGCACUGUAUGUAGGUUUGUUUGUUUGUAUGUAUGCGUGUAUGUAUAUAUAUAUAUAUAUAUGUGUGUGUGUGUGUGUGUGUGUUUCUGGACUGGGGAAAGGAGAGGAGUGUUUUUGUAGUCGUGGAGCGCCUCAUGGUAUUGAAUGUAGCUGACAGGCCUGGGCCCAAACUGAGCCCGGCAAAACCAGAACCUGAAACUCACUUCAGGGCACCAGCAGAGUGGACUGUGCUGUCAAAAAAAAUGAUGUUACACACAACAAACUGAGAAUAUUGCCCAUCUGCAAGGUGCAAUAUGUUGUUCAAUUUUUGUUGUUGUUCUUUUUGUACCUUUUAGUUUGUUUUUGUUUGUUUUUCUUUUUUGAUUUUUUUUUGGCCAUAACCAAGGAUGUAAAUACAAAAAAAAAAAAAAAAAAAGAUUAAAUCAGUAUAUGUAAAUCAUAUGCAACACACACAUACUGGAUGUUGAGGCCAGGAUACGAGACCCCAUAUCGGCGAACUUCCACCAUCUUGUAAAGUUUUGAGAAAAAAAUGCAUAUGUAGCUAUGUUAAUGCUUCAUACAUCUGUAUGUGUCCUUGUGUGCACUCGCAAAACGCGCAUGUCGAUCCAUGUUAUGGAAAAGUGCCCCAUGAAGUUAAAGAUCCAACCCUGUGCCUCCUAUUCUUCAAAAAGAGAUGAUUCUAACCAAUGACUGUACAACAGUUUACGGUCAUUAACUAACACAUACACACACAAUCACGAUCACACACACCCCUCUGAUCCGAACAGGAACCUGUUGACUGAACUGAGCUGCCCGUUCAAACGGCAGAAAGUGUUCGUCAGUGUGAUGGGCCCUUUGGGGGGAAGGAAGGAGGAUGGAUGCAUGUCAGUAGAAAGGAGAGGGCAUAUGUCUUGGAGAAAUGUGUAGACCCUCCCAGACUGGUGCAGUCAGGGGCCCCACACUACAGACAGUUAGACGGAUGCCCUGUCCCCACGGCUUGCUACUGCCAAUCACGUCUUUAAUCUGGGAAAACACACACAUGGACAGACAUGGUCACACUCACUUGCAUGUGUGCAGACAAAAAAAAAGACAUCUUUCCGAAUUUACUAAGCUACUUUCGAUAACACACGGAGCAGGGAGGAUAUUUCUAUUUCUUCAGUUGUUGACAUGGCUUUGUUUGUUUUUUUCCCUUCAUGCCAAAUGUAGAGGAAGUUUUGUCCUGAUUCUUUUUUUUUUUU
Alosa sapidissima (American shad) is the source of this 7942-nucleotide RNA transcript. It is a transcript of the gene named thyroid hormone receptor alpha b, with no coding region annotated. The record is from RefSeq and is a predicted model, not a curated record. The transcript has 10 exons. NCBI's taxonomy places the organism in Eukaryota, Metazoa, Chordata, Actinopteri, Clupeiformes, Clupeidae.